UACAGAGGGUGCGAGCGUUAAUCGGAAUUACUGGGCGUAAAGCGCACGUAGUCGGCUUUGCAAGUCGGUUGUGAAAUCCCCGGGCUCAACCUGGGAACUGCAUCCGAGACUGCAUUGCUAGAGUAUGGGAGAGGGAAGCGGAAUUUCUGGUGUAGCAGUGAAAUGCGUAGAUAUCAGGAGGAAUACCGAUGGCGAAGGCAGGUCUCUGGGCUGACACUGACGCUCAUGCACGAAAGCGUGGGGAGCAAACAGG
This 253-nucleotide ribosomal RNA is filed under the name uncultured bacterium. RNAcentral's name for it is "partial 16S ribosomal RNA". It matches the Rfam family "Bacterial small subunit ribosomal RNA", at positions 524 to 776 of the family's 1533-position model. The record is from RNAcentral.